RNAcentral lists this long non-coding RNA (876 nucleotides) under Homo sapiens (human). RNAcentral's name for it is "HSALNT0073119". The record is from RNAcentral. Lineage: Eukaryota; Metazoa; Chordata; Mammalia; Primates; Hominidae.
CUGGGGUGGAAUGAUAUGGUUUGGCUCUGUCCUCACCCACAUGUCAUCUUGAAUUCCCCCACGUGUUGUGGGAGGGACCAAGAGGGAGGUAACUGAAUCACUGGGGCAGAUCUUUCCCAUGCUGUUCUGGUGGUUGUAAGUCUCACAAGAUCUGAUGGUUAUUAUAAGGGGGAGUUUUCCUGCACAAGCUCUCUCUUUGCCUGCCAUCUAUAUAAGAUGUGACUUGCUCCUCCUUGCCUCCUGCCAUGAUUGUGAGGCUUCCCCAGCCGCGUGGAACUCUUUCAUACAGAGAUGACCAGAGAAUGGAGAUGGCAGGAGGCAGUGCAAAGCAGUGCAAGAAGACCAGGCUCUAGGGGCCGGUUGGAGAGUCUGAAUCUUAACUCUGGCACCUACCUGUCAGUUGAGCAGCCUGAGGGAGAUGAUCUGUCAACAUUUAACGCUACACACAGACAAAUCUUCACCUGCAAUUUCAUUCUCAAAUGACUUCAUACUAAUGAGUAAGUAUCAACACUUCAAUGCAAAACCUCAUUUAGGAUGCAUGGUGACCAGAAUGAUGAAAUCAUUCUUUUGUAGGUAAUCAGUGGAUUUGAUAGAAAAAAAAAUACUUGUUCUGCCCAGUUAAGCCAGACCCUAGGUAACCAGAUGUUUGGCAUACCAAUUGACAUUCUAGUGCCUAAUAAAUAUAUAUAGCCUGGUUAGAAUUUCAUGGAAAUGACUUCAUUUUAAAAAAGAGAUGACUGGAACAAGUUUUAAAAUAGGCUUAUCAGAGGGCACAAGCUAUUCAGUUUCCUCCUUCCCACAGGGUUCUUAUAUGUAGUUCAUUGCAAAACAUAAUACAUAUUUUUGAUAUUCUCUUUGUUAUCAACAAAGCACAAC